UUGUCGCGGGCUGAGUGGUUAAGGCGAUGGGCUAGAAAUCCAUCGCGGUCUCCCACGCAGGUCCGAAUCCUGCCGAUAAC
This 80-nucleotide transfer RNA is filed under the name Perca fluviatilis (European perch). RNAcentral's name for it is "tRNA-Ser". It matches the Rfam family "tRNA". From Rfam's summary of the family: Transfer RNA (tRNA) molecules are approximately 80 nucleotides in length. Their secondary structure includes four short double-helical elements and three loops (D, anti-codon, and T loops). The record is from RNAcentral. Lineage: Eukaryota; Metazoa; Chordata; Actinopteri; Perciformes; Percidae.